Long non-coding RNA from Mesocricetus auratus (golden hamster), 945 nucleotides. RefSeq lists it as uncharacterized. NCBI's taxonomy places the organism in Eukaryota, Metazoa, Chordata, Mammalia, Rodentia, Cricetidae. The record is from RefSeq and is a predicted model, not a curated record. The transcript has 2 exons.
GUGGUUCUCAAUCUCCCUAAUGCUGUGGGGCCUCUUUAAUACAGCUCCUCAUGUUGUGCUCCUGCCACCUCGCCGUCCAGCAUGUCUUGUAGCAGAGUGAAUUUGAGCCAGCAGCUGUGCUUUUCUCCAGACGACUCCGAUGGCUGAAGACCCCAGAGACUUUCAGAAGGGAGACUUCCCCAUUUGACUUUGUCUCUUUGUCAGUGAACACCUUGUCGCCAGAGCUGUGACUUUUCACUGCUGUUUUUUUUUCCUCAGAUGUCCCUUGUAAGCCCACUUCUUUAACUUAAAGGCAUAUGUGGCAUUAAAGAACCCUGCCCUGGCCAAUGUGAGUCCUACGUUCCCUUUAAACUCCUCUCUCACUGUUUUGUGUGUUUCCAACAAAGUCCCUCACCUUGAAUCUGUCACAUUCCUCAUCUCCAGAUGACCUGCAAGGGGAACAAUGACCCCAGUCCUUCCUCCCAGCUGGGGCCACAUCUGUCUUCUCUAUUACACCGCACUGUCAGAGACUGACGUGAGGUCAGGUUCAGCAGACUCACUUGUAUACCAGCUGGAAGAGGCUCACAUAAAAUCAAGCAGAGAAUCUAGACUCAUUAGGAGAAGAAGCAGAGUAACUGAGGACUCAGAAGUCAGCAGCCCCAUCUUAACCUUUACCAGGAAAAGACAAGCUGUGAAACACAACGGAUGGCAUCCAUCAGAACCGGAUUUGGUUCUUCCUGUAAAUUUGCCUACAGAUUCCUUCUGUCCCUAGGCAUUCCCUUGCAACAAUGUAGCAAAAAGUCAAACAGCCUGUGCUGCCGGUUCAAAAUAUCUAGAUCUGGUCUAUUACUAGUAAGCUUUGUGACUAAGGGCAAGCCACCCAACUUAUUACUAUCUAUAUUUUCUUAUCAAUCAGAUGUAGGUGAUGAUAACAUGUUAUUCAUAAUAAAAUAAAAGGCCUCAGCA